GCCGGUGUGUCGGAAUGGCAGACGAUGCAGACUCAAAAUCUGUUGUGGUUACCCACGUGCGGGUUCAAGUCCCGCCACCGGCA
This 83-nucleotide transfer RNA is filed under the name Lachnospiraceae bacterium. RNAcentral's name for it is "tRNA-Leu". It matches the Rfam family "tRNA". From Rfam's summary of the family: Transfer RNA (tRNA) molecules are approximately 80 nucleotides in length. The record is from RNAcentral. Lineage: Bacteria; Bacillati; Bacillota; Clostridia; Lachnospirales; Lachnospiraceae.